Molecule: long non-coding RNA, 137 nt
Organism: Bufo bufo (common toad)
Lineage: Eukaryota; Metazoa; Chordata; Amphibia; Anura; Bufonidae
Exons: 3
Source: RefSeq, a predicted model, not a curated record
GACUCAUUUAAUGAAAGGGAGGAGGUGUUCAAAUUAAUAGCAGUGUGGAGUUCAAUUAGUCAGGUCAUUCAUUCUAUGAAGAAACAGGUGUCAAUUAUGGCUCUUAUUUAAAGAAAGAGGGCAGCAAAUGUUUUACA